Molecule: non-coding RNA, 222 nt
Organism: Pelobates cultripes (western spadefoot toad)
Lineage: Eukaryota; Metazoa; Chordata; Amphibia; Anura; Pelobatidae
Source: the annotation of a GenBank genome assembly
AUCGGGAUGUGUUUGCUCCAGUACCAGGAAAGACUCAUGUUAUUAAACAUGACAUAAUUACGGAACCUGGAAAAAGGGUUAACUUAAAACCCUACCGAAUCCCAGAGGCCAGAAAAGAAGCCAUUAAAGCAGAGGUCCGAAAGAUGCUUGAGCUAGGGGUUAUCGAGGAAUCCCAUAGUGAAUGGAGUAAUCCUAUAGUGUUGGUACCCAAGCCAAAUGGAG